GCUGACGCAUGGCGAGGCUGGGCGGUAAUACGGCGUGGCCGACGGGUAAUGGGAAUUACUGGGCGUUAAGCGUGCGCAGGCGUGUUGUUUAUCGAGAAGUGAAAGCGCUGGGCUCAACCUAGGAAUAGCAUUUCGAACUGGCGAACUAGAGUCUUGUAGAGGGGGGUAGAAUUCCAGGUGUAGCGGUGAAAUGCGUAGAGAUCUGGAGGAAUACCGGUGGCGAAGGCGGCCCCCUGGACAAAGACUGACGCUCAUGCACGAAAGCGUGGGGAGCAAACAGGAUUAGAUACCCCUGUAGUC
Molecule: ribosomal RNA, 300 nt
Filed under: uncultured Ignicoccus sp.
Lineage: Archaea; Thermoproteati; Thermoproteota; Thermoprotei; Desulfurococcales; Desulfurococcaceae
Description: bacterial SSU rRNA
Rfam family: Bacterial small subunit ribosomal RNA
Source: RNAcentral